RNAcentral lists this ribosomal RNA (408 nucleotides) under uncultured bacterium. RNAcentral's name for it is "bacterial SSU rRNA". It matches the Rfam family "Bacterial small subunit ribosomal RNA", at positions 30 to 436 of the family's 1533-position model. The record is from RNAcentral.
AUUGAACGCUGGCGGCAUGCCUUACACAUGCAAGUCGAACGGCAGCACGGGAGCAAUCCUGGUGGCGAGUGGCGAACGGGUGAGUAAUAUAUCGGAACGUGCCCAGUCGUGGGGGAUAACGUAGCGAAAGCUACGCUAAUACCGCAUACGAUCUAUGGAUGAAAGCGGGGGAUCGCAAGACCUCGCGCGAUUGGAGCGGCCGAUAUCAGAUUAGGUAGUUGGUGAGGUAAAGGCUCACCAAGCCGACGAUCUGUAGCUGGUCUGAGAGGACGACCAGCCACACUGGGACUGAGACACGGCCCAGACUCCUACGGGAGGCAGCAGUGGGGAAUUUUUGGGACAAUGGGCGCAAGCCUGAUCCAGCAAUGCCGCGUGCAGGAUGAAGGCCUUCGGUUGGUUAAACGUUAG